This is a long non-coding RNA of Equus caballus (horse), 2122 nucleotides long. NCBI's taxonomy places the organism in Eukaryota, Metazoa, Chordata, Mammalia, Perissodactyla, Equidae. The record is from Ensembl.
GAUUCUGAGCUUGCCCCUGGGUCCAUGGGAAUGGCACCAUCAUGGGGCGGCGAUGUCCCUGGAUGGCAGCUGGGGAGUGUGGCACAUGGGCCAUAUGUGCAGGCUCGGGCUCGACCGAAGGCUUCAUAUCAGCCUGCUGGGGAGAUGGCCCCACAGGUGCUCCUUCCCCACCUCGCACCCCAUGUCACCUGCCUUCCUCUUUGAGAUGAUAGAUAAUGCCAUCACGCCCUGCAUCCUGGUCCGGGCAGCCGUGAGCAUCCUGCUCCACAGACAACAAAGCCAGGAAUCGCAGCCGCUGGUGAUUCCAUCCAGGGCCAGACGGGGAGCCCCCGUUCCCCUCCCCCGACUCUGGCACCCACGGGCCUCGCGCCUCUGCAGUCCUCCUGGUCCCCUGCUUCUCCUCCCUCAAGAUGCUUCUCCUGCAUCACCCCCACCCCUGCCCCACAGAGACUCCCCAGCCCCCCACGAAGCUAAUCCCACCCAGAUCUGAGGAAGCCAGAUUGUCAACCAACUACCUCAUGCUCUGCUUGGGCUCCAUCUCAUGUGUCAGGGGGGCGCCCUGCUGUCCAGGAGGAGGGUCCUCUCUCCUGCUGUGUGAGGCCUCGGGUCGUCGGGAGGGCACCCAGCCUCUCAGAGCUUGCAGCCGGCUUCGCCCCGGCUCUCAGCGGACAGCAGCCGCUCCCACGGGCCAGCACAGGGUCAGACAGAAGACAAGACGCAGAAUUUCCUGUUCAGAGCAAGAACGUGUUCAUCCUGCCUUUCUAGCCCCUGCUGUCUGGGUGGAUGGGAGGUGGGGGUCCCUGGGGAAGCCAUUCUGACCUGAAGUAGUUUGAGAGCCCUCUACCUCCUGGGAGGGUCCGGAAGCCCCCCCUCUUCUCCCCGGAGCCUCGCCUGGUGCCGGAUUCACACCCCGCUGGACCCUGUUGAGGUGAUGCUCCUGCUGUCCUCAGUCUGAGCGACUCCCAACCACGCCCAGGCCCCAUCUCCGACACAGCCAUCCUCUCCAGCCACAGCCCACACCUUUCCAGACUGGACCCCGUCCCCAGCCCUUCCCUGGACCUGCACACACGAGACUCCAUGUGAGCCCGAUGGCCCUUGGGCUAGGUCUGAGCAGGAGAGGGCAGCCGUCUCAGGCCCAUUGCCUGUUCUCAGCUUCCUCCUCCCAGCCAUCACUCCUUCCCCCUCCAUCCUGGCAAGGGGCUCAGGACCAGACCCUCCCUCCCCGUGGCAGUGUCAGCACCCAGCCUGGCAAGGACGGGAGAGUGCUCUCGGUUCCCUGGGCCAUCUGCCUGGGGCGCAGUAGAGCCCCCACACUUUGCCCAUGGGAAUCUCUGUCCAGAAUCCCACCAAGGAACCCCCACCCACAGAACCCCAUGGUGGAAGCGUGGGACCCACUGAGGAACACCACCCGUGGACUGCCCCCCGGCAGAACCCCCACCCAAAGACGCCCCAGGAACAUCUCCAGGGGAACCCCACCCACAGAAGCCCACUGAGAACAGGCUGCAGAGUCUCGCCGAGGCGCUCGUGGCCCCCGCCAGGACCCCACUGGCUGCGGAUGCAAGGCCGGGAUGACUGGUGAUCUAGCAGCGCCCCCACCACUCUCUCCCCGGUGGCCUCAGGCACCUUCCCCGAGCAGCUGCCCGAAGCCCAGGUCCCCUGCAUGUGGGUCACCUCAGCCCCAGCCAUGAGCGGGGUCCUAGGCAUGCUCAGCUCCUUGGAGAGGACGUCUCACUCGCCCUGGGGGCGGGGCAUCCCCCACCUGCCCUCAGCCCCCUCCCUGCCUGGUCCCUCGCCUGAGGGGAGAGGCUCCAGUGUCAGCGAAGCCCCCUCCCUGCCCCCAGCACGGCCCUGGGGAGGGCCUGGGCCCAGAGCCACUCAGGCGCCCAGACUCCACCACUCUUCUGAGCCACAAGCAAGCCGAAGCGGGCAGGCGGUGGCUCUCACCAAGGGUGCAGCAGACACCUAUUGAGCGCUUGCUGUAUACAGAGCAUCUCGUAUUCAGCACCGCACAGCAUCUUCACAACAAGCCAGAGACCCGGGUCUGGUUUUAGUCCCGAGGCGGCAGCAUGGGGGCUGAGGCCAGUGGGCAGGGCCACACGCCAACUCCUGACAAGGACUGAGG